RNAcentral lists this ribosomal RNA (291 nucleotides) under uncultured bacterium. RNAcentral describes it as "partial 16S ribosomal RNA". It matches the Rfam family "Bacterial small subunit ribosomal RNA", at positions 505 to 796 of the family's 1533-position model. The record is from RNAcentral.
GUGCCAGCCGCCGCGGUAAUACGGAAGGGGCAAGCGUUGUUCGGAAUUAUUGGGCGUAAAGGGCGUGUAGGCGGCUUCAUAUGUCUGUGGUGAAAGCAUACGGCUCAACCGUAUUAAGCCGCGGAAACUGUGGAGCUUGAGGCUGGGAGGGGCUGGUGGAAUUCCCUGUGUAGCGGUGAAAUGCGUAGAGAUGGGGGAGAACACUCGCGGCGAAGGCGGCCAGCUGGACCAGUACUGACGCUGAGACGCGAAAGCGUGGGGAGCAAACAGGAUUAGAAACCCUUGUAGUCC